GCCUUCGUGGUGUAGUAGUGGUCAGCACGCUCGGCCAGUAUUUGAGAGGUCCGUGGUUCGAAUCCCGGCGAGAGCA
RNAcentral lists this transfer RNA (76 nucleotides) under Stegodyphus mimosarum. It matches the Rfam family "tRNA". Rfam says of the family: Transfer RNA (tRNA) molecules are approximately 80 nucleotides in length. Their secondary structure includes four short double-helical elements and three loops (D, anti-codon, and T loops). Lineage: Eukaryota; Metazoa; Arthropoda; Arachnida; Araneae; Eresidae. The record is from Rfam by way of RNAcentral.